UGGCUCAGUGGAUAGAGCAUCGGCCUGCGGACCGAAGGGUCCCGGGUUCGAUUCCCGG
This 58-nucleotide transfer RNA is filed under the name Myotis brandtii (Brandt's bat). It matches the Rfam family "tRNA", at positions 8 to 63 of the family's 71-position model. From Rfam's summary of the family: Transfer RNA (tRNA) molecules are approximately 80 nucleotides in length. Their secondary structure includes four short double-helical elements and three loops (D, anti-codon, and T loops). Lineage: Eukaryota; Metazoa; Chordata; Mammalia; Chiroptera; Vespertilionidae. The record is from Rfam by way of RNAcentral.